This 253-nucleotide ribosomal RNA is filed under the name uncultured bacterium. Its description in RNAcentral is "partial 16S ribosomal RNA". It matches the Rfam family "Bacterial small subunit ribosomal RNA", at positions 524 to 776 of the family's 1533-position model. The record is from RNAcentral.
UACAGAGAGUGCAAGCGUUAAUCGGAAUCACUGGGCGUAAAGCGCGCGUAGGUGGAUAUCUAAGUCGAAUGUGAAAGCCCUGGGCUUAACCUAGGAACUGCAUCCGAUACUGGGUAACUAGAGUAUGGUAGAGGGAAGUGGAAUUUCCGGUGUAGCGGUGAAAUGCGUAGAUACCGGAAGGAACACCAGUGGCGAAGGCGACUUCCUGGACCAAUACUGACACUUAGGUGCGAAAGCGUGGGGAGCAAACAGG